Molecule: ribosomal RNA, 468 nt
Filed under: uncultured bacterium
Lineage: Bacteria
Description: partial 16S ribosomal RNA
Rfam family: Bacterial small subunit ribosomal RNA
Source: RNAcentral
GACGAACGCUGGCGGCGUGCUUAACACAUGCAAGUCGAACGGAAAGGCCCUGCUUUUGUGGGGUGCUCGAGUGGCGAACGGGUGAGUAACACGUGAGUAACCUGCCCUUGACUUUGGGAUAACUUCAGGAAACUGGGGCUAAUACCGGAUAGGAGCUCCUGCUGCAUGGUGGGGGUUGGAAAGUUUCGGCGGUUGGGGAUGGACUCGCGGCUUAUCAGCUUGUUGGUGGGGUAGUGGCUUACCAAGGCUUUGACGGGUAGCCGGCCUGAGAGGGUGACCCGCCACAUUGGGACUGGGAUACGGCCCCGCCUCCUACGGGAGGCAGCAGUGGGGAAUAUUGCACACUGGGCGGAAGCCUGAUGCAGCAACGCCGCGUGCGGGAUGACGGCCUUCGGGUUGUAAACCGCUUUCGCCUGUGACGAAGCGUGAGUGACGGUAAUGGGUAAAGAAGCACCGGCUAACUACGUG